This 306-nucleotide unclassified non-coding RNA is filed under the name uncultured Pyronemataceae. RNAcentral's name for it is "sequence contains 5.8S rRNA gene". The stretch from base 1 to 53 matches the Rfam family "5.8S ribosomal RNA", at positions 102 to 154 of the family's 154-position model. Lineage: Eukaryota; Fungi; Ascomycota; Pezizomycetes; Pezizales; Pyronemataceae. The record is from RNAcentral.
GAACGCACAUUGCGCCUUUCGGUAUUCCGGAGGGCAUGCCUGUUCGAGAGUCAUUAACAACCAGUUCAAUCCCUUUUUAAAAACUAUUUGGGGGAUUGGUUAUUGGUGGAUGAGGGGAUGCGUGCAUCACGUUGAAUCACCUCACCACCGAAAUUCAGAGGCGGUUAUGUCCCCACGCGUUUGUGGCGUUGUAAAGGCUUACCAGCACUAUUCGCUCGCAUCGUGGGUGCACUGCUUGCCAUUGGAGAAAUCCCCAUUCAUCAAAGGUUGACCUCGGAUCAGGUAGGGAUACCCGCUGAACUUAAG